GCCCAAACCACAAUUUCAUUAGGGUUUUCUCCAUUUUCUUCUCGCGGCGUGAGCUCACCGACGAACCCACGUAUAGGCUCAGAUCGCCGUUCCGAUAUACAUAACGCCUCAGAUCUCCAUAAAUGCGUUCUUACCUUCGUCCUCCAAUUACCGGCUGAAGGUUCAACUACAAAUAUCCCACCUUUCGACGAUGAAUACCACAACUCAAACGAGAUCCACAAAAAUAGUUUGCUUAAGCAAUGGAUUCCGACAAUGGCGUCUUCAUACACUCUCCUUGCCGAUUGGAAAGCCAGACGCUGCUCCCGGAGGUUCGGUCGUCUGCUGAGGUUUUGAGAGGCCAGAACCUUUGUUUCCCAUUAACCUUGUCGACUAUUAGAUUCAUUCUGAUUUACUAAUGUUUUAUUUUACUCCUUUCCAACACUUAUUCAAGGGUCCAUUGGUGCGAUUCGACAGCUGAGAUUUAGAUAACGACUUGCAGAAGGCUCUGUGUUCACGCUAAGUGGAUUUGAUGUUUCGCGCAAAAACCCCAAAUUCCGGUUAUCUGAUGCCCUCCUCUCCAUAUGGUUCAAUGAUGGAACUUCUUUCGAAAAGCGAGCAAUGACCGUGAGGACCAUACCAACGGAAAUGUUUCGAUUUCCAUCAUACGACCAGUUACCAGAACUAGCAAACACCGGCAAACAGCUCCCUGUUUAUGUGCAGGGAUACAAGCGUUUGUGUUAGUAUGUUUGACUCUCUGGCUCUUGCAUUCCAUAGCAAAUUCGAUAGCUACGGGAGAGAGCCAAGAAUUGUUGCUGUAAUAGAUAUAGUGACAUCCUCUGUUGUGUUGAUAUCAGUGUCGUGGUUGUUGUUAUAUUAAUCAUUCAAGCAUAGGUCGAGACCUGAAUCAGAUGUCUGGAGUAUGGGUGUCAUCACUUGCAUUCUUCUCUGUGGAAGAAGACCCUUUUGGGGUAAGACACAAGACGUGAUACUGAAUGAGUUGUAGACAAUAAAACAGGUAAUGAGAAGAAAAAACAUGACUUCGAAACAAACACACGGGCAACGAUUACAAGGAAGCCAAAGAUCUUGUGAAGAAGUUGUUGGCAAAGGAGUCAUGAGCACGGUUAACAGCAGCACACGCAUGGGUGAGAGAUUGUAAUAGACAUCUGUUCUUGUCAACAUACAUCAGUUUCUGAAGUUAGCCGGCUUAAGCAGAUUGCUCUGAAGGAGACGACUAAUGAUGAUGAUGAGCUGGAUGAUCUCAUAGACCAGUUUGGAGAAGUUAAUAUGUAGAGAUUCCAUAUCACACAAAGUCAAGAAUGAUUCCAUUAGUCUUGUGGAGAUGAGGCAGGUUCUUGUGAAAGAUAGUCCUUGGAAGCUCAAUGAUGCAAGAUUAGCUGCGAUUCUUCAAGGAAUCGAUAGCAACACUUAUGGGUUAGUGAACUACGCUGAGUUUGUGGUCGUUACUUUACAUGUUAGUCAACUGGAGGAGCAUGACUCUGACCAGUGGGAGUAGUGGUCAUGAGCAGCUUUCGAGAAGUUUGACAUUGCCAGAGAUGGGUUUAUAACAUCUGAGGAACAAAAAAUGAAUCACUUCUUGCAGAAGCUGGCGUUAAUGAAGAUCGGAGAAUCAGCAUUCAUGAGUUUCACAAACUCUUGAGAUCUGCAAUCCUCCAGGGAUGUUCAUAGCACAUGAAGAACUUGCUGGUCAAACCUAAUGAAAAAAGCACUCACCUCUUAAUCUGAAGAAGAGGCAUGUAAUUUAAGCUCAAGCUCUAAACAAACACCAUCUUUUUAAUCCGAUUGGUUACUGUUCCUCAUAAUAUCCAAACCUAAAGAGUUUAUUUUACAAUCUUGUUUGUUUCAAGCAUACACGACCAUCGUUUCAUUAACAUACAGUUUUGGAUAUUCAUUUAAUUUUCAAAAUAAAAAAUAUAAAUAUUUUCCCUCA
Molecule: long non-coding RNA, 1927 nt
Organism: Brassica napus (rape)
Lineage: Eukaryota; Viridiplantae; Streptophyta; Magnoliopsida; Brassicales; Brassicaceae
Exons: 8
Source: RefSeq, a predicted model, not a curated record